UACUACCGAAGCUACGGCAUCAGUAAUGAUGGGUAGGGGGGCUUCCCAGACGGGUUGAAGCAUGACCGUAAGGACAUGUGGACAGUAUGGGAGUGAGAAUGUUGGCAUGAGUAGCGAGAUGUGGGUGAGAAUCCCACAGGCCGUAAACCCAAGGUUUCCAGGGGAAGGUUCGUCCGCCCUGGGUUAGUCGGGACCUAAGCUGAGGCCGAAAGGCGUAGGUGAUGGACAACAGGUUGAUAUUCCUGUACUACCGAU
This 255-nucleotide ribosomal RNA is filed under the name Clostridioides difficile. RNAcentral describes it as "partial 23S ribosomal RNA". It matches the Rfam family "Bacterial large subunit ribosomal RNA", at positions 1189 to 1451 of the family's 2925-position model. The record is from RNAcentral. Lineage: Bacteria; Bacillati; Bacillota; Clostridia; Peptostreptococcales; Peptostreptococcaceae.